Long non-coding RNA from Harpia harpyja (harpy eagle), 674 nucleotides. RefSeq lists it as uncharacterized. NCBI's taxonomy places the organism in Eukaryota, Metazoa, Chordata, Aves, Accipitriformes, Accipitridae. The record is from RefSeq and is a predicted model, not a curated record. The transcript is spliced from 4 exons.
AUUGGCCAUGGGAAAAAUGUCCCUUCCCCGUGCCUCAGCGGGGAGUGAUGGGGCCGUAUAAACCCACCGGCACGUCCGGGGCCAGGAGCUGCGGUGAGGAGAGGCCAGGUAGGAUGUCGGCUGGAUUUGUUGUGGUCCAAGAGGUGCAGGGGAUCCGCACAUGGCUUUCCGUGCUGCUGUUGGAAACUGGCAUGCGUGGGAUUCAGUACGGGAGGAUACGCCUGCACUCGGGAAGCGGGGGGCUCUGUGUUGAGAGAGGAUGCCGGUACUCUGGCUGGCAGGGUGAUUCCCUGGCCCUUCACUGAAAUGCAAGAAGCAGAAGAGGUUUUUCAAGCAGCAUAAAUUUAAAAAAGCCUAUUUUUCCCCAGGGCAGCAGACACUGCUGGGCUGGCCAGUGGCACUGGAGGAAGCAGAGGCGGGCGCUGGCUCUGGAGGAUGCAGGGAAGGAGCCGCGGUUUGGAAAUAAAACCGCAGCAUUUGGAAGUGGGUUUGAGGACCACCUGCACCAGUCAGAGGAAAGGGGCAGCUCCAGAGGCAGAGAGGGGUACAUUUGUGCAUAGAUAUGGGGGUGGCCGGAGCAGCCAUCCCUCCAAAAGCACCCGCCAUGCAGCAACCGCCCGCCCGCAAGAUGAUGAACCGGAGACCACAGGGGGUCCGAGGCGACAGACCUGCUU